AAGUCGUAACAAGGUCUCCGUAGGUGAACCUGCGGAGGGAUCAUUAACACGUUAAUUCUAACGUUUUUUUCAACCAAAACUAUGGAAACAUGAAAGUGAAGAGAAGAGUGAGUGUGAAAACUUGCUUUUUUCCCAUUUUUGUUUUUUAUCAACCCAUUUCCAAUUUAAAAAUGAACUUGACCUGUAUACUAUGAAAAUUUAUUUUUUCAUUAGUAUUGAUAUCUAAACAAAGAAGCACAACUCUUAGCAACGGAUAUCUUGGUUCUC
Molecule: unclassified non-coding RNA, 267 nt
Filed under: fungal sp.
Lineage: Eukaryota; Fungi
Description: partial internal transcribed spacer region
Rfam family: Eukaryotic small subunit ribosomal RNA (bases 1-46)
Source: RNAcentral